ACAUAUCAGUAAAAAUUUAAUAAUUUAUCCCCCUUAUUCUACCAAAUGAUGUGAAAAAAAACUAUCCCUCUCUUAACAAAUUAUUCUAAAAUAACCUGUUAAGAGAUGAGAACUAUUAUUCUUCCCUUUCAAUGGAAUAGCAACUCUUGUCAUUUAUUCUCCCCUUUAAAUAAUAAUUUAUUUACUAAACUAUGAUAAUUAGUAUAUUAUAUUCUUAACAAAUCAAAUUCUUAAAUAAUUUUUUUAUUAAUUAGUUUCUAAUUAUUAUAAAACAUUACUAAUUAAUUACUAAUUAACUUAUUUAAUUAUCUACUAACUACUUGAAUUAUUAAAUUAAUAUAUAUUUAAUUAAUUACUUGAACAAAUAGUUUAGUAUUUAUAUUUAUAAUCAAUCGCUAAUCAAAUAAUAACUAAUUUAAUAUGCUUAUUCAAAUAAUAACUAAUAUUUAUAUGCUGAUUAAGUAAUUAAUAUUUUAACUUAUCAACUUAAUUUAUUAACUAAAUAUAUAAUUAGUUAAUUUGGUAACUCAUUUAAUUUAUUUUUAAAUAAUUAAGUAACUAAUAAACAUGCUUCUUCACCAUUUUAUGCAAUAUUCCUAGUUAAUUAAUUAACUUGCUAUUAAAGUAUUAUCAUCUUAUAUAAUAUUCCUAGGUAAUUAAUUUCUUAACUUGUUAAAAUAUUAUCUUAUCAAUAAUUAACAUGAUUAUUAUUUAAAUAAAAUGUUAUUAUUUUAUAAUUAUAAUUAAUCUUAUUCCUAUUAUUCCAAUAUAACAAUCCAAAAGCAAUUUUCCUUAUCUCUCUGAGCAACACAAUUUUUAUCCAAACACAAAAUUAUUCUAAUCUCUGUAUAUCACACAAAUAAUAUCUAUCCCAUGAAUAAAUAAGAAUAAUUUAUUUUAUCGUAUUAAUAUUUUUUUUUCAGGACCCGAAAAUCGUUUUCCUAAAAUCAAAAUUUGAUUCGACAAGUUAUGUAAUUAAUAUUUUAACUUAUCAACUUAAUUUAUUAACUAAAUAUAUAAUUAAUUAAUUUGGUAACUCAUUUAAUUUAUUUUUAAAUAAUUAAGUAACUAAUAAACAUGCUUCUUCACCAUCUUAUGCAAUAUUCCUAGUUAUUUAAUUAACUUGCUAUUAAAAUAUUAUCAUCUUAUAUAAUAUUCCUAGGUAAUUAAUUACUUAACUUGUUAAAAUAUUAUCUUAUCAAUAAUUAAGAUGCUUAUUAUUUAAAUAAAAUAUUAUUAUUUUAUAAUUAUAAUUAAUCUUAUUCCUAUUAUUCCAAUAUAACAAUCCAAAAGCAAUUUUCCUUAUCUCUCUGAGCAACACAAUUUUUAUCCAAACACAAAAUUAUUCUAAUCUCUGUAUAUCACACAAAUAAUAUCUAUCCCAUGAAUAAAUAAGAAUAAUUUAUUUUAUCGUAUUAAUAUUUUUUUUUCAGGACCCGAAAAUCGUUUUCCUAAAAUCAAAAUUUGAUUCGACAAGUUAUGUAAUUAAUAUUUUAACUUAUCAACUUAAUUUAUUAACUAAAUAUAUAAUUAAUUAAUUUGGUAACUCAUUUAAUUUAUUUUUAAAUAAUUAAGUAACUAAUAAACAUGCUUCUUCACCAUCUUAUGCAACAUUCCUAGUUAUUUAAUUAACUUGCUAUUAAAAUAUUAUCAUCUUAUAUAAUAUUCCUAGGUAAUUAAUUACUUAACUUGUUAAAAUAUUAUCUUAUCAAUAAUUAAGAUGCUUAUUAUUUAAAUAAAAUAUUAUUAUUUUAUAAUUAUAAUUAAUCUUAUUCUUAUUAUUCCAAUCUAACAAUCCAAACGCAAUUUUUUCUUAUCUCUCUGAGUAAUACAAUUUUUAUCCCAACACAAAAUUAUUCUAAUUUCUGUAUAUCACAUAAAUAAUAUCUAUCCCAUAUUCCCAUGAUUAAAUAAGAAUAAUUUAUUUUAUCAAAUUUUUUUUUUUUUU
RNAcentral lists this long non-coding RNA (1948 nucleotides) under Ananas comosus (pineapple). Its description in RNAcentral is "long non-coding RNA (ACOM_LNC007784)". The record is from RNAcentral. Lineage: Eukaryota; Viridiplantae; Streptophyta; Magnoliopsida; Poales; Bromeliaceae.